RNAcentral lists this ribosomal RNA (512 nucleotides) under uncultured bacterium. RNAcentral describes it as "bacterial SSU rRNA". It matches the Rfam family "Bacterial small subunit ribosomal RNA", at positions 28 to 524 of the family's 1533-position model. The record is from RNAcentral.
GAUGAACGCUAGCGGCAGGCUUUAACACAUGCAAGUCGAGGGGCAGCGGGGCGGUCAGCUUGCUGAUUGCCGCCGGCGACCGGCGCACGGGUGAGUAACACGUAUGCAACCUGCCCGCCACAGGGGAUAACCGGGAGAAAUCCCGACUAAUACCGCGUAGUCCGCGGAGGGGCAUCCCUCCGCGGGGAAAGGAGCGAUCCGGUGGCGGAUGGGCAUGCGGCGCAUUAGCUAGUUGGCGGGGCAACGGCCCACCAAGGCGACGAUGCGUAGGGGUUCUGAGAGGAAGGUCCCCCACAUUGGUACUGAGACACGGACCAAACUCCUACGGGAGGCAGCAGUGAGGAAUAUUGGUCAAUGGGCGGAAGCCUGAAACCAGCCAAGUCGCGUGAGGGAGGAAGGUCCUAACGGAUUGUAAACCUCUUUUGCCGGGGAGCAAAGGGGCCAUUUAUGGCAGGAUGAGCGUACCCGGAGAAAAAGCAUCGGCUAAACUCCGUGCCAGCAGCCGCCGUAAC